RNAcentral lists this ribosomal RNA (492 nucleotides) under Diaporthe sp. Eho006. RNAcentral describes it as "eukaryotic LSU rRNA". The stretch from base 178 to 331 matches the Rfam family "5.8S ribosomal RNA". The record is from RNAcentral. Lineage: Eukaryota; Fungi; Ascomycota; Sordariomycetes; Diaporthales; Diaporthaceae.
CUGGAACGCGCCCCAGGCGCACCCAGAAACCCUUUGUGAACUUAUACCUUACUGUUGCCUCGGCGCUAGCUGGUCCUUCGGGGCCCCUCACCCUCGGGUGUUGAGACAGCCCGCCGGCGGCCAACCUAACUCUUGUUUUUACACUGAAACUCUGAGAAUAAAACAUAAAUGAAUCAAAACUUUCAACAACGGAUCUCUUGGUUCUGGCAUCGAUGAAGAACGCAGCGAAAUGCGAUAAGUAAUGUGAAUUGCAGAAUUCAGUGAAUCAUCGAAUCUUUGAACGCACAUUGCGCCCUCUGGUAUUCCGGAGGGCAUGCCUGUUCGAGCGUCAUUUCAACCCUCAAGCCUGGCUUGGGGAUGGGGCACUGCCUGUAAAAGGGCAGGCCCUGAAAUUCAGUGGCGAGCUCGCCAGGACCCCGAGCGCAGUAGUUAAACCCUCGCUUUGGAAGGCCCUGGCGGUGCCCUGCCGUUAAACCCCCAACUUCUGAAAAU